UACAGAGGUGGCAAGCGUUGUUCGGAAUUACUGGGCGUAAAGGGCGCGUAGGCGGCCAUCUAAGUCAGACGUGAAAUCCCCAGGCUUAACCUGGGAACUGCGUCUGAUACUGGAUGGCUUGAAUUCGGGAGAGGGAUGCAGAAUUCCAGGUGUAGCGGUGAAAUGCGUAGAUAUCAGGAGGAACACCGGUGGUGUAAACGGCUUUCUGGACCGUAACUGACGCUGAGGCACGAAAGCGUGGGUAGCAAACAGG
RNAcentral lists this ribosomal RNA (253 nucleotides) under uncultured bacterium. RNAcentral's name for it is "partial 16S ribosomal RNA". It matches the Rfam family "Bacterial small subunit ribosomal RNA", at positions 524 to 776 of the family's 1533-position model. The record is from RNAcentral.